RNAcentral lists this unclassified non-coding RNA (285 nucleotides) under Hevea brasiliensis (rubber tree). Lineage: Eukaryota; Viridiplantae; Streptophyta; Magnoliopsida; Malpighiales; Euphorbiaceae. The record is from RNAcentral.
GAGCUUUGUCUUCAGAAUCAAGAAACUGAGAAUUUGAACCAGGCAUGACUGACCUUGAGGGAGCUUGAACUGUGGAAUCCGAAUUUGAAUGUUGUUUAGCACUUUGAAUCUCUGAUUCAUUACCAUUUUCCUUCUCUGAAUUUGGCUGUAGAAGGUCAGUAUGGUUCUCAUGAAUGUGAGAUUCAAACUCGGACCCCUUCAAGAAAGAUUUGAGACAGUGAGGGGCUGCGCAGAUGAAGAUCCCCUCCAUCAUUUUAAUUGUCUGAAUCUUCUGGAUACGUUCAU